GGGACGGUAGCUCAAUCGCGGAGAGCGUCCGGCUUGCACCCGGGAGGCUGCGGGUUCGAAUCCCGCCCGCUCCA
This 74-nucleotide transfer RNA is filed under the name Alphaproteobacteria bacterium. Its description in RNAcentral is "tRNA-Ala". It matches the Rfam family "tRNA". From Rfam's summary of the family: Transfer RNA (tRNA) molecules are approximately 80 nucleotides in length. Their secondary structure includes four short double-helical elements and three loops (D, anti-codon, and T loops). The record is from RNAcentral. Lineage: Bacteria; Pseudomonadati; Pseudomonadota; Alphaproteobacteria.